UACGGGGGGGGCAAGCGUUGUUCGGAAUUACUGGGCGUAAAGGGCUCGUAGGCGGCCAACUAAGUCGGAUGUGAAAUCCCCAGGCUUAACCUGGGAACUGCAUCCGAUACUGGAUGGCUUGAAUCCGGGAGAGGGAUGCAGAAUUCCAGGUGUAGCGGUGAAAUGCGUAGAUAUCUGGAGGCAUACCGGUGGCGAAGGCGGCAUCCUGGACCGGCAUUGACGCUGAUGAGCGAAAGCUAGGGGAGCAAACGGG
Molecule: ribosomal RNA, 253 nt
Filed under: uncultured bacterium
Lineage: Bacteria
Description: partial 16S ribosomal RNA
Rfam family: Bacterial small subunit ribosomal RNA
Source: RNAcentral